GGCUCGAUGGCGGACGGUCCGCACCUGCAUUCUGUAAACGGAUGAACAUGAAGAUCGUGCAUGCAGGCGCCGCCCGUUCAACUCGGGCUCGAGCCA
This is a non-coding RNA of Mycena latifolia, 96 nucleotides long. The record is from the annotation of a GenBank genome assembly. NCBI's taxonomy places the organism in Eukaryota, Fungi, Basidiomycota, Agaricomycetes, Agaricales, Mycenaceae.